CCCUUAGAUGUCCGGGGCUGCACGCGCGCUACACUGAAGGAAUCAGCGUGCUAGAAAACCUUGUUUGACAUGGCUAGGUAACCCGUUGAAAAUCUUUCGUGAUUGGGAUCGGGACUUGCAAAUGUGUCCCUUGAACGAGGAAUUCCCAGUAAGUGCGGGUCAUAAGCUCGCGCUGAUUACGUCCCUGCCCUUUGUACACACCGCCCGUCGCUACUACCGAUUGAACGGUUUAGUGAGGGCCUCGGAUUGGUCUCGGCCCGCUCUUUACCGGGCGGCGCCGUUGGUCGAGAAGACGCUCGAACUUGAUCGUUUAGAGGAAGUAAAAGUCGUAACA
RNAcentral lists this ribosomal RNA (334 nucleotides) under uncultured eukaryote. Its description in RNAcentral is "partial 18S ribosomal RNA". It matches the Rfam family "Eukaryotic small subunit ribosomal RNA", at positions 1470 to 1796 of the family's 1831-position model. The record is from RNAcentral.